GACGAACGCUGGCGGCGUGCUUAACACAUGCAAGUCGAGCGGUAAGGCCCUUUCGGGGUACGACGAGCGGCGAACGGGUGAGUAACACGUGGGUGACCUGCCCUCCAGCUCUGGGAGUAAGCCUGGGAAACGUGGGUCGUAAUACCGGAUAUGACUCCAUGACGCAUGUUGUGGGGUGGAAAGCCUUGUGCGGCUGAGGAUGGGCCCGCGGCCUAUCAGC
RNAcentral lists this ribosomal RNA (220 nucleotides) under uncultured bacterium. RNAcentral's name for it is "partial 16S ribosomal RNA". It matches the Rfam family "Bacterial small subunit ribosomal RNA", at positions 28 to 245 of the family's 1533-position model. The record is from RNAcentral.